AUUGAACGCUGGCGGCAGGCCUAACACAUGCAAGUCGAACGAGUGGCGGACGGGUGAGUAAUGUCUGGGAAUCUGCCUGAUGGAGGGGGAUAACUACUGGAAACGGUAGCUAAUACCGCAUACCAGCGCAUGCGCCCAGAUGGGAUUAGCUAGUAGGUGGGGUAAGGGCUCACCUCGGCGACGACCCCUAGCUGGUCUGAGAGGGUGACCAGCCACACUGGGACUGAGACACGGGCCAGACUCCUACGGGAGGCAGCAGUGGGGAAUAUUGCACAAUGGGCGCAAGCCUGAUGCAGCCAUGCCGCGUGUAUGAAGAAGGCCUUCGGGUUGUAAAGUACUUUCAGCCGGGAGGCGUUACCCGCAGAAGAAGCACCGGCUAACUCCGUGCCAGCAGCCGCGGUAAUUC
Molecule: ribosomal RNA, 406 nt
Filed under: uncultured bacterium
Lineage: Bacteria
Description: partial 16S ribosomal RNA
Rfam family: Bacterial small subunit ribosomal RNA
Source: RNAcentral